RNAcentral lists this ribosomal RNA (231 nucleotides) under uncultured bacterium. RNAcentral describes it as "partial 16S ribosomal RNA". It matches the Rfam family "Bacterial small subunit ribosomal RNA", at positions 127 to 353 of the family's 1533-position model. The record is from RNAcentral.
UGCCUUAUAGUGGGGGAUAGCCUUUCGAAAGGAAGAUUAAUACCGCAUAAGAUUGUAGUAUCGCAUGAUAUAGCAAUUAAAGGAGCAAUUCGCUAUAAGAUGGACCCGCGUCGCAUUAGCUAGUUGGUGAGGUAAUGGCUCACCAAGGCGACGAUGCGUAGCCGACCUGAGAGGGUGAUCGGCCACCAUUGGGACUGAGACACGGCCCAGACUCCUACGGGAGGCAGCAUG